RNAcentral lists this small RNA (96 nucleotides) under Arabidopsis thaliana (thale cress). Its description in RNAcentral is "ATSL066700". The record is from RNAcentral. Lineage: Eukaryota; Viridiplantae; Streptophyta; Magnoliopsida; Brassicales; Brassicaceae.
AAAAAGUAGUACACAUUACAAUUUCUCGCCUAACGAUUUUACUCUGUGGUAAACCGAAAGAUAGUUAAAAACGGCUCCAUUUCGAUUACUUUGAAA